GAUGAACGCUGGCGGCGUGCUUAACACAUGCAAGUCGAACGGAAAGGCUCUUGCUUGCAGGGGUACUCGAGUGGCGAACGGGUGAGUAACACGUGGGUGAUCUGCCCUGCACUUCGGGAUAAGCCUGGGAAACUGGGUCUAAUACCGGAUAGGACGAUGGUUUGGAUGCCAUUGUGGACAGCUUUUCCGGUGUGGGUUGAGCCCGCGGCCUAUCAGCUUGUUGGUGGGGUAAUGGCCUACCAAGGCAUCGACGGGUCACCGGCCUGUGAGGGUGGACGGCCACAUUGGGACUGAGGGACGGCCCAGACUCCUACGGGAGGCAGCAGUGGGGAAUAUUGCACAAUGGACGCAAGCCUGAUGCAGCGACGCCGCGUGGGGGAUGACGGCCUUCGGGUUGUAAACUCCUUUCGCUAGAGACGAAGCGCAAGUGACGGUACCUGGAGAAGAAGCACCGGCUAACUACGUG
Molecule: ribosomal RNA, 466 nt
Filed under: uncultured bacterium
Lineage: Bacteria
Description: partial 16S ribosomal RNA
Rfam family: Bacterial small subunit ribosomal RNA
Source: RNAcentral